RNAcentral lists this ribosomal RNA (345 nucleotides) under uncultured bacterium. Its description in RNAcentral is "partial 16S ribosomal RNA". It matches the Rfam family "Bacterial small subunit ribosomal RNA", at positions 28 to 294 of the family's 1533-position model. The record is from RNAcentral.
GAUGAACGCUGGCGGCGUGCCUAACACAUGCAAGUCGUACGAAUUCUAGAUAUUAUUUUUCUCAGGAAUUCGGUCAUAUAGAUUUUCCCACGCAUCGCGUAAGCGCUAAGUUGGGAAAAUCUCAUAUGACUGAUAAUUGCUGAGAAAUCAUCAAGAGUUAGUGGCGGACGGGUGAGUAACACGUUAGUACCUGCCCCGAAGUGGGGGAUAACUGCCCGAAAGGGUAGCAAUACCGCAUGUGGUCACUUGUGACCAAAGCAGAAAUGCGCUUCGGGAGGGGCUUGCGUCUGAUUAGCUUGUUGGUGGGGUAAUGGCCCACCAAGGCGACGACGGGUAGCCGGCCUG